UCCACGAGAAUAACCUCCUCUCUUUUCCCUGGAGCUCCCUCUUCCGUAAUGGGGACCUCGAGCCUCCCCCCGGGGACCUCCUCUUCAACAGCAGCGGAGACCCCAGAAGCGCCCACAAUAGGAAGGACAAGGUCCGACCUCACCGAUCCAACACCCUCAGCCACUUCAGAGAUAAUCAUGGGACCCUCUUCCGUCCCCUCGUUAGAAAUACCUUG
RNAcentral lists this long non-coding RNA (215 nucleotides) under Manihot esculenta (cassava). RNAcentral describes it as "long non-coding RNA (MESC_LNC008448)". The record is from RNAcentral. Lineage: Eukaryota; Viridiplantae; Streptophyta; Magnoliopsida; Malpighiales; Euphorbiaceae.